GCUUGGGUGGCUCAGUAGUUAAGCAUCUGACUUUGACUCAGGUCAUGAUCUCACGGUUUUGGGUUCGAGCCCCACCUUGGGCU
This 83-nucleotide transfer RNA is filed under the name Felis catus (domestic cat). It matches the Rfam family "tRNA". Rfam says of the family: Transfer RNA (tRNA) molecules are approximately 80 nucleotides in length. Their secondary structure includes four short double-helical elements and three loops (D, anti-codon, and T loops). Further hydrogen bonds mediate the characteristic L-shaped molecular structure. tRNAs have two regions of fundamental functional importance: the anti-codon, which is responsible for specific mRNA codon recognition, and the 3' end, to which the tRNAs corresponding amino acid is attached (by aminoacyl-tRNA synthetases). tRNAs cope with the degeneracy of the genetic code in two manners: having more than one tRNA (with a specific anti-codon) for a particular amino acid; and 'wobble' base-pairing, i.e. permitting non-standard base-pairing at the 3rd anti-codon position. Lineage: Eukaryota; Metazoa; Chordata; Mammalia; Carnivora; Felidae. The record is from Rfam by way of RNAcentral. RNAcentral also lists the same sequence under 2 other names.